This 482-nucleotide ribosomal RNA is filed under the name uncultured bacterium. RNAcentral describes it as "partial 16S ribosomal RNA". It matches the Rfam family "Bacterial small subunit ribosomal RNA", at positions 28 to 507 of the family's 1533-position model. The record is from RNAcentral.
GACGAACGCUGGCGGCGUGCUUAACACAUGCAAGUCGAACGCUGAAGCUCAGCUUUUGUUGGGUGGAUGAGUGGCGAACGGGUGAGUAACACGUGAGUAACCUGCCCCCUUCUUUGGGAUAACGCCCGGAAACGGGUGCUAAUACUGGAUAUUCACUGGUCUUCGCAUGGGGGUUGGUGGAAAGGGUUUUUCUGGUGGGGGAUGGGCUCGCGGCCUAUCAGCUUGUUGGUGGGGUGAUGGCCUACCAAGGCUUUGACGGUAGCCGGCCUGAGAGGGUGACCGGUCACAUUGGGACUGAGAUACGGCCCAGACUCCUACGGGAGGCAGCAGUGGGGAAUAUUGCACAAUGGGCGCAAGCCUGAUGCAGCGACGCCGCGUGAGGGAUGGAGGCCUUCGGGUUGUGAACCUCUUUCGCUCAUGGUCAAGCCGCAACAAUGGUUGUGGUGAGGGUAGUGGGUAAAGAAGCGCCGGCUAACUACGUG